UAACUGAGUGGCGAACGGGUGAGUAACGCGUGGGUGACCUACCUUCGAGUGGGGGAUAACGUCCCGAAAGGGACGCUAAUACCGCAUGACAUCCUCUCUUUGAACAGAGGGAGAUCAAAGCCGGGGAUCGCAAGACCCGGCGCUUGAUGAGGGGCCCGCGUCUGAUUAGCUAGUUGGUGGGGUAAUGGCCCACCAAGGCGACGAUCAGUAUCCGGCCUGAGAGGGCGGACGGACACACUGGGACUGAGACACGGCCCAGACUCCUACGGGAGGCAGCAGUGGGGAAUUGUUCACAAUGGGCGCAAGCCUGAUGACGCAACGCCGCGUGGAGGAUGAAGGUCUUCGGAUUGUAAACUCCUGUUGCUCGGGAAGAAUAGCUCCGACCUAAUACGUCGGAGUGUGACGGUACCGGGUGAGGAAGCCCCGGCUAACUCUGUGCCAGCAGCCGCGGUAAUACAGAGGGGGCAAGCGUUG
This 474-nucleotide ribosomal RNA is filed under the name uncultured bacterium. RNAcentral describes it as "bacterial SSU rRNA". It matches the Rfam family "Bacterial small subunit ribosomal RNA", at positions 88 to 543 of the family's 1533-position model. The record is from RNAcentral.